RNAcentral lists this ribosomal RNA (496 nucleotides) under uncultured bacterium. RNAcentral describes it as "partial 16S ribosomal RNA". It matches the Rfam family "Bacterial small subunit ribosomal RNA", at positions 28 to 506 of the family's 1533-position model. The record is from RNAcentral.
GAUGAACGCUGGCGGCGUGCCUAAUACAUGCAAGUCGAGCGAACAGACGAGGAGCUUGCUCCUCUGACGUUAGCGGCGGACGGGUGAGUAACACGUGGAUAACCUACCUAUAAGACUGGGAUAACUUCGGGAAACCGGAGCUAAUACCGGAUAACAUGUUGAACCGCAUGGUUCAACAGUGAAAGACGGUCUUGCUGUCACUUAUAGAUGGAUCCGCGCCGCACUAGCUAGUUGGUAAGGUAACGGCUUACCAAGGCAACGAUGCGUAGCCGACCUGAGAGGGUGAUCGGCCACACUGGAACUGAGACACGGUCCAGACUCCUACGGGAGGCAGCAGUAGGGAAUCUUCCGCAAUGGGCGAAAGCCUGACGGAGCAACGCCGCGUGAGUGAAGAAGGUCUUCGGAUCGUAAAACUCUGUUAUUAGGGAAGAACAAAUGUGUAAGUAACUAUGCACGUCUUGACGGUACCUAAUCAGAAAGCCACGGCUAACUACGU